This 55-nucleotide transfer RNA is filed under the name Canis lupus familiaris (dog). RNAcentral also lists the same sequence under 1 other name. Lineage: Eukaryota; Metazoa; Chordata; Mammalia; Carnivora; Canidae. The record is from Rfam by way of RNAcentral.
GGUUCUGUGGCUUAGUUGGUUAAAGCACCUGCCUAAUAAACAGAAACCAGGACCU